AUUGAAUGAAUUAAUGUUUCGAGCAUUGAAAUGAUAAGCGUGACAGAUAAGAAGGUAAUGGUACAGGUAUGUACGAAACCUAUGUGGUGGAUGAUGUUAAGUAUGAAGUAGAUGAAAAUUUAUGUAAAUGAAUGGGGAAAUAUUAUUCGGGCCUUUGAGCCUAGCAGGCUAUAAUGUCGGUGAGAUACUAUUCGGGCUUUCGAGCCUAGCAGGCUAUAAUGCCGAUGAAAUGAUAUCGGGCCUCGAGCCUAGCAGGCGAAAUGCUGGUGAUUUGAGAAAAGUCUAAGACUAAGGUACCUCGUGUUAGAUUGACAAAUGAAUACAUUCAAUACGUUAAGAGGGCCAGGUACGCAUUAUGUACUCAUAUGUGAGUUUGAUUUGAAUUGAAUCAUAAGUGUGAUGUGAUACAUAUGUGAAUAAAUGUUAUAACUAUAUAUAUGACCAUGAUACAUUCGGUCAAGGUGUGAAAGUAUGUGAAAGUAUUUGAUUUAUUUAUGUUAUAUGAAUUCAGAUUAAGUGUUAUAAGAAUGCUGAAUGUGCAUUAUGUGCUUGUGUAUAUUCAGCCUGAUGGAAAUAUACUUAAAAUAUGGCCUCUUGAGAAAUUGAAUAAUCGAAGUAUAAUUGCAUUUAUUUGUUUGCAUUGCUUAAAACUUAUUAAGCUUAUAAAAGCUUACUCCGUUGCUACAUUCCUCUGUUUUAUAGAUUGUUGACUCCAGUUACCUGCUCGGGUUGGAGUUCGCCGGAGAUAUUAUCACACGUCGAGCUAACACUAUGGGUGUAGUGAUUUCAAAUACUUUGAGUCUAUGGCAUGUAUAGGUGUGUAAAUAUUAGAGUAUGUGAUCUGGCUUUAACCAUAUGUGUUGGCCUAUUUUGAUUAUAGGGUUGUAAAUCCAUUUUAAUUAUGCAUGAAUGUGCUAUGGUAUUACAUGAUGAGUUUAUAAUGAUUAAAGCAUGAAUUUUCCAAGUUUUUCUUAAGUUCUCGGUUUAGUCCCGAACCACCCCAGAUAUAUGUUUUGGGUCUCGUGAACCCAUUUAAGGGACAAGAUUGUAUGUGAAAAGAAAUUUUUUUAAUUAUUUGAGAUUUCAUGGCCCUGUUUAGUAUAGAAGUGUUAGUAAAAUUCAAGUAGCACCUCGAACCCCAUCCCAGCGUCGGAUGCAGGCGAGGGGUGUUACAUGUUCCACCUUAGGGGGAAUCACCUGCGUGAGCGGGAGUAGACGAAGUGGAAGCGAGAAUGUCAGCUUGAGUAACGCAAACAUUGGUGAGAAUCCAAUGCCCCGAAAACCCAAGGGUUCCUCCGCAAAGUUCAUCCAUGGAGGGUGAGUCAGGGCCUAAGAUCAGGCCGAAAGGCGUAGUCGAUGGACAACAGGUAAAUAUUCCUGUACUACCCCUUGUUGGUUCCAAGGGAUGGAGGAGGCUAGGAUAGCACAAAGAUGGUUAUCGGUUCAAGGACACAAGGUGACCCUCUUUUUCAGGGUAAGAAGGGGUAGAGAAAAUGCCCCGAGCCAAUGUUCGAGUACCAGGUGCUACGGCGCUGAAGUAACCCAUGCUAUACUCCCAGGAAAAGCUCGAACAACCUUCAACAAAAGGGUACCUGUACCUGAAACUGACACAGGUGGGUAGGUAGAGAAUACCUAGAGGCGUGAGACAACUCUCUCUAAGGAACUCGAAAAAAUAGCCCCAUAACUUCAGGAGAAGGGGUGCCUCCUUACAAAAGGGGUCGUAGUGACCAGGCUCGGGCGACUGUUUACCAAAAACACAAGUCUCCGCAAAGUCGUAAGACCAUGUAUGGGGGUUGACACCUGCCCAGUGCCGGAAAGUCAAGGAAGUUGGUGACCUGAUGACAAGAGAGCCGAUGACCGAAGCCCCGGUGAAUGGCGGCCGUAACUAUAACGGUCCUAAGGUAGCAAAAUUUCUUGUCGGGUAUGUUUUGACCCACACGAAAGGCGUAACGAUCUGGGCACUGUCUCGAAGAGAGGCUCAAUCAAAUAGACAUGUCUGUGAAGAUGCGGACUACCCGCACUUGGACAGAAAGACCCUAUGAAGCUUCACUGUUCCCUGGGAUUGGCUUUGGACUUUUACUGCAUAGCUUAGGUAGAAGGAGAAGAAGGCCUCCUUCCGGGAGGGCCCGAGCCAUUAGUGAGAUACCACUCUGGAAGAGCUAGAAUUCUAACCUUGUGUCCAGACCUACAGGCCAAGGGACAGUCUCAAGUAGACAGUUUCUAUGGGGCGUAGGCCUCCCAAAAGGUAACGGAGGCAUGGAAAGGUUUCCUCAGGCCAGACGAAGAUUGGCCCUCGAGUGCAAAGGCAGAAGGGACCUUGACUGCAAGACCUACCCGUCGAGCAGGGAUGAAAUUUGGCCUUAGUGAUCUGACGAUGCCGAGUGGAAGGGUCGUCGCUCAACGGAUAAAAGUUACUCUAGGGAUAAUAGGCUGAUUUUCCCUAAGAGCUCACAUCGACGGGAAGGUUUGGCACCUCAAUGUCGACUCUUCGCCACCUGGGGCUGUAGUAUGUUCCAAGGGUUGGGCUGUUCGCCCAUUAAAACGGUACGUGAGCUGGGUUCAGAACGUCGUGAGACAGUUCGGUCCAUAUCUGGUGUGGGCGUUAGAGCAUUGAGAGGACCUUUCCCUAGUAUGAGAGGACCGAGAAGGACGCACCUCUGGUGUACCAGUUAUCGUGCCCACGGUAAAUGCUCCAAGUGCGGAGUGGAUAACUGCUGAAAGCAUCUAAGUAGUAAGCCCACCCCAAGAUGAGUGCUCUCCUAUCCUGACUUCCCAAGAGCCUCCGUAGCACAGCCGAGAUGGUAAGGGGUUUUCUAUCCCUGCGAGGACCGAGUGACAGAAGUUUUGAGAAUUCAAGAGAAGGUCACAGCGAGACGAGCUGUUUAUCAUUACGAUAGGUGUCAAGUGGAAGUGCAGUGAUGUACGCAGCUGAGGCAUCCUAACAGACCGGUAGACUUGAAC
RNAcentral lists this ribosomal RNA (2961 nucleotides) under Gossypium hirsutum (cotton). RNAcentral describes it as "bacterial LSU rRNA". The stretch from base 959 to 2961 matches the Rfam family "Bacterial large subunit ribosomal RNA". Lineage: Eukaryota; Viridiplantae; Streptophyta; Magnoliopsida; Malvales; Malvaceae. The record is from RNAcentral.